Molecule: ribosomal RNA, 468 nt
Filed under: uncultured bacterium
Lineage: Bacteria
Description: partial 16S ribosomal RNA
Rfam family: Bacterial small subunit ribosomal RNA
Source: RNAcentral
GACGAACGCUGGCGGCGUGCUUAACACAUGCAAGUCGAACGGAAAGGCCCUGCUUUCGUGGGGUGCUCGAGUGGCGAACGGGUGAGUAACACGUGAGUAACCUGCCCUUGACUUUGGGAUAACUUCAGGAAACUGGGGCUAAUACCGGAUAGGAGCUCCUGCUGCAUGGUGGGGGUUGGAAAGUUUCGGCGGUUGGGGAUGGACUCGCGGCUUAUCAGCUUGUUGGUGGGGUAGUGGCUUACCAAGGCUUUGACGGGUAGCCGGCCUGAGAGGGUGACCGGCCACAUUGGGACUGAGGUACGGCCCAGACUCCUACGGGAGGCAGAAGUGGGGAAUAUUGCACAAUGGGCGGAAGCCUGAUGCAGCAACGCCGCGUGCGGAAUAACGGCCUUCGGGGUGUAAACCGCUUUCGCCUGUGACGAAGCGUGAGUGACGGUAAUGAGUAAAGAAGCACCGGCUAACUACGUG